RNAcentral lists this ribosomal RNA (253 nucleotides) under uncultured bacterium. RNAcentral's name for it is "partial 16S ribosomal RNA". It matches the Rfam family "Bacterial small subunit ribosomal RNA", at positions 524 to 776 of the family's 1533-position model. The record is from RNAcentral.
UACGUAGGGUGCGAGCGUUAAUCGGAAUUACUGGGCGUAAAGCGUGCGCAGGCGGUGAUGUAAGACAGUUGUGAAAUCCCCGGGCUCAACCUGGGAACUGCAUCUGUGACUGCAUUGCUGGAGUGCGGCAGAGGGGGAUGGAAUUCCGCGUGUAGCAGUGAGAUGCGUAGAUAUGCGGAGGAACACCGAUGGCGAAGGCAAUCCCCUGGGCCUGCACUGACGCUCAUGCACGAAAGCGUGGGGAGCAAACAGG